CUUUCAUCCAGAAUGAGGGAUGUAACAGGAGAAAUAUCCCAGUAGUGUGGGAAAGCUAAUUAGGGGUUUGUACCCAUGGGAACUAUGGGAUAAAACUUCUAAAAUGUGGUGAUACUGAACAGUUGCUCUGAAUUGAUGUCUCCUUUGGUCUAGAUUCUCCCUAAAGAUAAGCAUGAAGCUUAGAGCCCAGCCACCCUCAAAAAAUUGAUUAAAUUGGACAGAACUCUGCUUUAAAAUCAAACAGAGGUGAAUCCAAAUCUUGCAUACUCCAUCUAUCAUCUUUAUAUGCUUCGAGUGCACUCGUGAAAGCAUCAAGGAAAGCAACAACAACACAGGAGGUGGGAAAGGACCCAACCUUUGCCUGAACAACAGUCACUCUUACAAGGAAAUCAGAAAAUCGUUCUUAAUUCUUUUCUCAUUGGUAACCAGGAUUUUGCCUUUCUCAAGCACUUAGGAGUUCUUCUGCACUGAAUGCUGACACAAUAUCUAGAACUACAGCAGCCAUCUUGAGAUAAAUGAAGGAAACCUAAAAACACCAAGAGACGCAUAAUAAAUGCCAACAGAAAGACAAGAAAAGAUCCCCAGCUGUUCCAGCCAGCUCCUCCUUAUCUCAGGAUAUUUCAUCCCCAGCAUGUUCUUCAGUUAUUCUUGAGAACUACAAGCUAGAAAGAGGGGAGAGCUAGGUAAGUCUAAGACCUGCUAGAGAACUGUCCUUCUAAUAUUAUUUAAGCAACUGAAGUGUAUUUUUACUUUUUAAAUAUUUUAAUCUUGCUGUAUACUUCACAAGUGGAACUAUGUUAAACUAAAAAGACAUCUUCCCAGCAAGGGAAACAAUCAACAGAGUGAAAAGACAACCUGAAGAAUGGGAGAACGUAUUUGCACACUAUUCAU
Molecule: long non-coding RNA, 891 nt
Filed under: Homo sapiens (human)
Lineage: Eukaryota; Metazoa; Chordata; Mammalia; Primates; Hominidae
Description: HSALNT0284259
Source: RNAcentral